UCUCCGUUGGUAAACCAGCGGAGGGAUCAUUACCGAGUUAUCAACUCCCAAACCCCUGUGAACAUACCCAACGUUGCUUCGGCGGGACCGCCCCGGCGCCCUCGGCGUCCCGGAACCAGGCGCCCGCCGGAGGACCCAAACUCUUGUUUAAACCAUAGUGGCAUAUUCUGAGUCUCACAAGAAAAAUGAAUCAAAACUUUCAACAACGGAUCUCUUGGCUCUGGCAUUGAUGAAGAACGCAGC
This 243-nucleotide unclassified non-coding RNA is filed under the name plant metagenome. RNAcentral's name for it is "partial contains small subunit ribosomal RNA, internal transcribed spacer 1, and 5.8S ribosomal RNA". The stretch from base 195 to 243 matches the Rfam family "5.8S ribosomal RNA", at positions 1 to 49 of the family's 154-position model. The record is from RNAcentral.